CCUGUUAUUGUCAACUUCUCUCAGGACAAAUCUUGGCGUGUACGCCACAUGGUUGCAAAUCAAUUAUGUAAACUUUGUGAAGCUAUGGGGCCUGAACCUACUAGGACUGACUUGGUUCCUGCAUAUGUACGCUUGCUUCGUGACAAUGAGGCUGAAGUACGUAUAGCAGCUGCUGCUGGCAAAGUAACCAAGUUCUGCUGCAUUUUAAAUCCGGAACUUGCUAUUCAGCAUAUUCUCCCCUGUGUAAAGGAACUUUCAUCAGAUUCUUCCCAGCAUGUCCGGUCUGCUUUGGCUUCAGUUAUAAUGGAAAUGGCUCCUGUCCUGGGGAAGGAUGCUACCAUUGAGCAGCUUCUUCCAAUUUUUCUUUC
RNAcentral lists this unclassified non-coding RNA (368 nucleotides) under Hevea brasiliensis (rubber tree). The record is from RNAcentral. Lineage: Eukaryota; Viridiplantae; Streptophyta; Magnoliopsida; Malpighiales; Euphorbiaceae.